Non-coding RNA from Phrynosoma platyrhinos (Desert horned lizard), 76 nucleotides. The record is from the annotation of a GenBank genome assembly. NCBI's taxonomy places the organism in Eukaryota, Metazoa, Chordata, Lepidosauria, Squamata, Phrynosomatidae.
GAGUCAGUGGCAUAGUGGUUUGUUUGAGCAUUGGACUAUGACUCUGGAGAUCAGGGUUUAAUUCCCAGCUUGGUCA